AACUGUUGGUUAUGUGUGCCCAAGCAUUGGGGCAGUCAAAGUAGGCAAAUCCGCGUUGAUAAUGCUGGGAUGUGAUGGGGAGCGAAAUUUAGUAGCGAAGUAGCUGAUUUCACACUGUCAAGAAAAGGCUCUAUCGAGGUUAAAGGUACCCGUACCGCAAACCGACACAGGUGGGUGAGGAGAGUAUCCUAAGGCUAGCGAGAGAACUGUUGUUAAGGAACUCGGCAAAAUGACCCCGUAACUUAGGGAUAAGGGGUGCCACCAUCAGGUGGCCGCAGAGAAUAGGCCCAAGCGACUGUUUACCAAAAACAUAGGUUUCUGCUAAGUCGCAAGACGAUGUAUAGGAGCUGACGCCUGCCCGGUGCUGGAAGGUUAAGGGAAUCUGUUAGAGCAAUCGAAGCAGUGAACUUAAGCCCCAGUAAACGGCGGCCGUAACUAUAACGGUCCUAAGGUAGCGAAAUUCCUUGUCGGGUAAGUUCCGACCCGCACGAAAGGCGUAACGAUUUGGCCAC
Molecule: ribosomal RNA, 512 nt
Filed under: Clostridioides difficile
Lineage: Bacteria; Bacillati; Bacillota; Clostridia; Peptostreptococcales; Peptostreptococcaceae
Description: bacterial LSU rRNA
Rfam family: Bacterial large subunit ribosomal RNA
Source: RNAcentral